GGAAAACUCACCCGGCCCGGACACUGUAAGGAUUGACAGAUUGAGAGCUCUUUCUUGAUUCGGUGGGUGGUGGUGCAUGGCCGUUCUUAGUUGGUGGAGCGAUUUGUCUGGUUUAUUCCGAUAACGAACGAGACUCCAGCCUGCUAACUAGUACGCGUAUCUCUCAGUGCGCGCUACUUCUUAGAGGGACAAGCGGUGUUCAGCCGCAUGAGAAGGAGCAAUAACAGGUCUGUGAUGCCCUUAGAUGUCCGGGGCUGCACGCGCGCUACACUGAAAGGAUCAGAGUGCUAGUUCACCUUGCCCGAAAGGGCUGGGUAACCCGCUCAAAACCUUUCGUGAUUGGGAUAGGGACUUGCAAUUAUUUCCCUUGAACGAGGAAUUCCCAGUAAGUGCGGGUCAUAAGCUCGCGUUGAUUACGUCCCUGCCCUUUGUACACACCGCCCGUCGCUGCCCGGGACUGAGCCGUUUCGAGAAGAACGGGGACCGUAGGCGCUUGGCUCUCGCGGGCUUUUCGUUUGUGGAAACCGUUUUAAUCGCAGCGGCUUGAACCGGACAAAAGUCGUAACAAGGUUUCCGUAGGUGAACCUGCGGAAGGAUC
Molecule: ribosomal RNA, 598 nt
Filed under: uncultured eukaryote
Lineage: Eukaryota
Description: bacterial SSU rRNA
Rfam family: Eukaryotic small subunit ribosomal RNA
Source: RNAcentral